ACGUAGGUGGCAAGCGUUGUCCGGAAUUAUUGGGCGUAAAGGGCGCGCAGGCGGUGUCGUAAGUCGGUCUUAAAAGUGCGGGGCUUAACCCCGUGAGGGGACCGAAACUGCGAUGCUAGAGUAUCGGAGAGGAAAGCGGAAUUCCUAGUGUAGCGGUGAAAUGCGUAGAUAUUAGGAGGAACACCAGUGGCGAAAGCGGCUUUCUGGACGACAACUGACGCUGAGGCGCGAAAGCCAGGGGAGCAAACGG
RNAcentral lists this ribosomal RNA (250 nucleotides) under uncultured bacterium. Its description in RNAcentral is "partial 16S ribosomal RNA". It matches the Rfam family "Bacterial small subunit ribosomal RNA", at positions 525 to 775 of the family's 1533-position model. The record is from RNAcentral.